This 433-nucleotide ribosomal RNA is filed under the name uncultured bacterium. RNAcentral's name for it is "partial 16S ribosomal RNA". It matches the Rfam family "Bacterial small subunit ribosomal RNA", at positions 29 to 507 of the family's 1533-position model. The record is from RNAcentral.
AACGAACGCUGGCGGCAUGCCUAACACAUGCAAGUCGAACGAGACCUUCGGGUCUAGUGGCGCACGGGUGCGUAACGCGUGGGAACCUGCCCUUAGGUUCGGAAUAACUCCCCGAAAGGGGUGCUAAUACCGGAUAAUGUCCUCGGACCAAAGAUUUAUCGCCUUUGGAUGGGCCCGCGUUGGAUUAGCUAGUUGGUAGGGUAAAAGCCUACCAAGGCGACGAUCCAUAGCUGGUCUGAGAGGAUGAGCAGCCACACUGGGACUGAGACACGGCCCAGACUCCUACGGGAGGCAGCAGUGGGGAAUAUUGGACAAUGGGCGGAAGCCUGAUCCAGCAAUGCCGCGUGAGUGAUGAAGGCCUUAGGGUUGUAAAGCUCUUUUACCCGGGAUGAUAAUGACAGUACCGGGAGAAUAAGCUCCGGCUAACUCCGUG